AUUGCUUUCUCAAGUGAAAAAUGCAAACCGUUUAUUUACUAAACCAGGAAUUGUGCAGAAGUAACAAGAUAAUUGCAUAUUUUAUCCUAAAAAAAUCAAAGCCCGGGAAAUUGAUGAGGCGGAGAAUGUUUAUUUCAAAUUCUGUUAAUACAAUUAUGCCUUUGCUUUGAUCCUUUACAAAUCCCAGUUUAGUGACAGACUCCAACAUUGUAGGUUUACGUCACAGGAAAAGUCAGUUUUAUAUUGGGCUGAGCUAAUAAACAGAACUGAAGAUUUCAGAAUAAAUUAUUCCACAAACGUAAGAUUUUUAGAGCUGUAUUUUUAUAUGAACAUUUUACGUAAUAAAGGUCCAGAGAACACUGACAUUUUG
Molecule: non-coding RNA, 370 nt
Organism: Pelobates cultripes (western spadefoot toad)
Lineage: Eukaryota; Metazoa; Chordata; Amphibia; Anura; Pelobatidae
Source: the annotation of a GenBank genome assembly